Molecule: long non-coding RNA, 373 nt
Organism: Suricata suricatta (meerkat)
Lineage: Eukaryota; Metazoa; Chordata; Mammalia; Carnivora; Herpestidae
Exons: 2
Source: RefSeq, a predicted model, not a curated record
GCGUUCUGAGCAUUUCCUGAUAACAAUGGCUCGCUGUGCCGAAAACCAACAAUGUGGUUCAUGGUGAACAUCUGCUUUUCUUCUGGGAACGCGAAAUUUCGGUACAUGUGAAGUAGGUGGUACCCACAUGAUUCCAAGCCUCUUAAGUUGGAAAAGCCCUCUGAGCGACUGCAUGAAGUGACACCAGCACCUGCUUACAAGACUUCAUGGGCUUCCAAUCAACAGCUUCCACCUUCAUGGGAGACCCCAAGUGUUGCCUUUAAAAAUUCUCACUUUGCAAACCAUCAGAGAGUUCAGGAUUUUAGGGCAUUAGCUCCCUGUCCCCCUGUGUGGUGCCACCCUAGUAAAUAGUUUGUCUUUCUCCACUGCAAAA